Molecule: ribosomal RNA, 253 nt
Filed under: uncultured bacterium
Lineage: Bacteria
Description: partial 16S ribosomal RNA
Rfam family: Bacterial small subunit ribosomal RNA
Source: RNAcentral
GACGAACCGUGCGAACGUUGUUCGGAAUCACUGGGCUUAAAGGGCGCGUAGGCGGGCCAUCAAGUCCGGGGUGAAAUCUUUCGGCUUAACCGGAAAAUUGCCUUGGAUACUGGUGGUCUUGAGGGAAGUAGGGGUCUGCGGAACUUCCGGUGGAGCGAUGAAAUGUGUUGAUAUCGGAAGGAACGCCGGUGGCGAAAGCGGCGGACUGGGCUUCUUCUGACGCUGAGGCGCGAAAGCGUGGGGAGCAAACAGG